AACGUAGGAGGCAAGUGUCAUCCGGAGUUACUGGGCGUAAAGCGCGAGUAGGUGGUUUUUCAAGUUGCGUGUAAAAGCGCCCGGCUAAACUGGGCGAGGCAGGCAAGACUGAAGGGCUAGAGGCAGCUAGAGGAGCGUGGAAUUCGGGGUGUAGCGGUGAAAUGCUUAGAUAUUACGAAGAACUCCAAUUGCGUAGGCAGCGCACCAGGCUACAACUGACGCUGAGGCACGAAGGUGCGGGUAUCAAACAGG
RNAcentral lists this ribosomal RNA (252 nucleotides) under uncultured bacterium. RNAcentral describes it as "partial 16S ribosomal RNA". It matches the Rfam family "Bacterial small subunit ribosomal RNA", at positions 524 to 776 of the family's 1533-position model. The record is from RNAcentral.